AGUCGAAACUAAUUAAACCUAAAAAAAGCAGUUAAAUACCUAUUUAAAUUAUAAUAAAUUAUAAAUUAAAGAAUAACUACACUAACUAUUCAAAUAAAUGAAUAAUCAAAUCAAUUUCUUUCAUUUAUUAUUUUAAUCACUCCCUCCAGAUAACUGAUUUUGCCUUUUAUUAAAUUUUUUUACCUUUGAGGUGGAGAGAGGACCAUAGGCCAUCCAGACUACUAAGCCCUACCUAACUUAGGCAGUAAGUAGUCAAUAAAUAAAUAAAUAGAAAGAGAUAAAUAGAUAAUAAACCAAUAUUUUAUUAUUUAUAAUGUUUUACCUUUUUUAAAGAUAGAC
RNAcentral lists this ribosomal RNA (339 nucleotides) under Hebeloma syrjense. Its description in RNAcentral is "partial small subunit ribosomal RNA". The record is from RNAcentral. Lineage: Eukaryota; Fungi; Basidiomycota; Agaricomycetes; Agaricales; Hymenogastraceae.